AGAGUUUUUUCCUGGCUCAGGAUGAACGCUGGCGGCGUGCUUAACACAUGCAAGUCGAACGAAGCACUACCGACGGAACUUUUCGGAGGGAAGAUGGUAAUGACUGAGUGGCGGACGGGUGAGUAACGCGUGGGCAACCUGCCCCAUAGAGGGGGACAACAGCUGGAAACGGCUGCUAAUACCGCAUAACAAGGAGAGAGCGCAUGUUCUUUUCUUCAAAGAUUUAUCGCUAUGGGAUGGACCCGCGUCUGAUUAGCUGGUUGGUGAGGUAACGGCUCACCAAGGCGACGAUCAGUAGCCGGCUUGAGAGAGUGGACGGCCACAUUGGGACUGAGAAACGGCCCAGACUCCUACGGGAGGCAGCAGUGGGGAAUAUUGCACAAUGGGGGAAACCCUGAUGCAGCGACGCCGCGUGAGUGAAGAAGUAUUUCGGUAUGUAAAGCUCUAUCAGCAGGGAAGAUAAUGACGGUACCUGACUAAGAAGCCCCGGCUAACUACGUGCCAGCAGCCGCGGUAAUACGUAGGGGGCAAGCGUUAUCCGGAUUUACUGGGUGUAAAGGGAGCGUAGGUGGCAGGGCAAGUCAGAUGUGAAAACCCGGGGCUCAACCCCGGGAGUGCAUUUGAAACUGUCCAGCUGGAGUGCAGGAGAGGUAAGCGGAAUUCCUAGUGUAGCGGUGAAAUGCAUAGAUAUUAGGAGGAACACCAGUGGCGAAGGCGGCUUACUGGACUGUAACUGACACUGAGGCUCGAAAGCGUGGGGAGCAAACAGGAUUAGAUACCCUGGUAGUCCACGCCGUAAACG
RNAcentral lists this ribosomal RNA (802 nucleotides) under uncultured bacterium. RNAcentral describes it as "bacterial SSU rRNA". It matches the Rfam family "Bacterial small subunit ribosomal RNA", at positions 8 to 808 of the family's 1533-position model. The record is from RNAcentral.